CAGUCGAGGAUUUUUUAUUACAUACCAGUCGAACGAACUCUGAUAUUGAUUAGGUGCUUGAAUCAUGAUUUACAUUUGAGUGAGUGGCGAACUGGUGAGUAACACGUGGGAAACCUGCCCAGAAGCGGGGGAUAAAACCUGGAAACAGAUGCUAAUACCGCAUAACAACUUGGACCGCAUGGUCCGAGUUUGAAAGAGGGCUUCGGCUAUCACUUUUGGAUGGUCCCGCGGCGUAUUAGCUAGAUGGUGAGGUAACGGCUCACCAUGGCAAUGAUACGUAGCCGACCUGAGAGGGUAAUCGGCCACAUUGGGACUGAGACACGGCCCAAACUCCUACGGGAGGCAGCAGUAGGGAAUCUUCCACAAUGGACGAAAGUCUGAUGGAGCAACGCCGCGUGAGUGAUGUAGGGUUUCGGCUCGUAAAACUCUGUUGUUAAAGAAGAACAUAUCUGAGAGUAACUGUUCAGGUAUUGACGGUAUUUAACCAGAAAGCCACGCUAACUACGUGCCAGCAGCCGCGGUAAUAGG
RNAcentral lists this ribosomal RNA (528 nucleotides) under Lactiplantibacillus plantarum. Its description in RNAcentral is "bacterial SSU rRNA". It matches the Rfam family "Bacterial small subunit ribosomal RNA", at positions 39 to 527 of the family's 1533-position model. Lineage: Bacteria; Bacillati; Bacillota; Bacilli; Lactobacillales; Lactobacillaceae. The record is from RNAcentral.